CACAAAUGUCAUGAACAGAAGAGAAAUUAUUUUUAUAGUAACAGUUUCAGCCGUGGCAUCUUUCGCCGGCACCAUGUACGAUAGCUUCGGUAAACGACCGGGACCCUGAAUAUCAAUAUGGCCCGGAUUGCCUACUCAACCUGAUAUUCAUAUCUUCAUAACUACCACAAUGAACCACAUACGAAGCAAAACAGAACCAUGAUCCAUCAAAACUAGCGUUUUCAAGUUUCUCCAAAGGUCCGAGCCCCAAAAAUCAUGCAUCCGUAUAAACUAGACUGCCCCAAACCAACGCGCCUCUGGCAUUUAACCGGCAAGAAACACUUCUGGGGCAUUCUCAAGGACCGCCAUGCUGCCGUCAAACAUACACAUGCACCUUUAGUACGCAAAGACUUACUCACUCUACUAGGCAUCUCCUUGCUAGCAACUGCGGGGUACUUGUACAUGUACGGGAUCUUCUCCCCCCCGGCUAAACCUCCGCAGAAAGAGUGCACGCCAGACCCGCGUCCUACGGUGCCUUGUCCGAGAAAAUAUCCGUGCAAUGAUUAAGAAAAUGACGGAGAAACACUUUAGAUUACAUCAAAAAUAAAUAGAACAUUAGUUAUGAAAUAAAUCUUUUAAAAUUGUA
Leguminivora glycinivorella is the source of this 625-nucleotide long non-coding RNA. RefSeq lists it as uncharacterized. The transcript has 2 exons. The record is from RefSeq and is a predicted model, not a curated record. Lineage: Eukaryota; Metazoa; Arthropoda; Insecta; Lepidoptera; Tortricidae.